GAUGGAUAGCAAGCUGUUUAAACAAACCCCUUUCUGGACUCAGGAGUCUGGAAGUAACCAGCUGCUGGUGGUAUUGGUUCAGCAGCUCAAUGUUAUCAUAUUUGCAAGAUGACUGCUCCAGCUUCAGCCAUCCCAUCUUUGUCCAAAGGUGGAAGAAUGAGCUUUUAACUCUGACGAGGCUCUGCCAAUACCUGGAUCCAGAUAAGUGUGAGUACUACAUUGGAACACAAGGCCUGACUACAGACUAGAAGUGGCUCCAGAAGCACUUCAUCUUCUGUGGCUAAGAAACAGGAUCUGUUCUGAGAAAAACCAACAUCUGUAACCACACGUUAAGAGUGCAUAAAUUCACACACACAUACAUCACAACAACAACAACAACAACAACUUUCUUUGAAAGAGGGGCGAGUGAUGUAGUUAUAAUCUCUCACUAUUGGAGAGUUUCUGAAACAUGUUCACAUCUCCUACCUCAUUUGAUCCUCCCCCAAAUGCAGUUUGGAAUAAGGCAUGCAGCCACUACAAGUCCUGUUUCACAGAUGAAGUGGGUGAGGUUUAGAAAAGCCAAGGGCCUAGCUCAAGGUCACAAGUUACUGGGUGGCGGAGCAGGGACGUGAGCCCAGGUGUCCGAGUCCUGUGCCAUUGGGGACCCACUUGACUAAUGCAGGGUAUUAGAGUUAAGUGGGUAAGGGGUCUUGAAACAUUUGCCCAUUUUUCAGGCAUUUGACCUAAACCACAGAAAAGGGAAAAACUAGUGACCUAAGGUCACAUAAAGAGUCACACAAGCAGAAAAUUGAAGAAAGAAUGAAGUCUAACUCCAGUCCAUGUUUACAACAAAUCCUCCUCCUAUCAAGAGCCAGUACCUUUAAAAAGGAAUCUCUUCUUCUCAAAAGAACCAGAGACAUUUCCAAAUGUUUUCCCCUUGAUUAAAAUCCUAGGUAUAAAAAGCAGGAAAUGUUUAUGCUCAAAAAACAAGGCUCCUCUGUAUUGAGCAAAUGGGAAUCCUUUGAUUCAAUCUGAAAUUUCUUUUCUAGGUAUGGUU
This 1036-nucleotide long non-coding RNA is filed under the name Equus caballus (horse). RNAcentral describes it as "lncRNA (ENSECAG00000034600.3)". The record is from RNAcentral. Lineage: Eukaryota; Metazoa; Chordata; Mammalia; Perissodactyla; Equidae.